RNAcentral lists this ribosomal RNA (482 nucleotides) under uncultured bacterium. RNAcentral describes it as "partial 16S ribosomal RNA". It matches the Rfam family "Bacterial small subunit ribosomal RNA", at positions 899 to 1397 of the family's 1533-position model. The record is from RNAcentral.
ACUCAAAGGAAUUGACGGGGACCCGCACAAGCGGUGGAGCGCCUGCUUUAAUUCGAUGAUUACCGAAGAACCUUACCAAGCUUUGACAUGCAUCUGCAAGGCCGCGAAAUCGGCCCGCCUUCGAGGGAGAUGCACAGGUAUUGCAUGGCUGUUAUCAGCUCGUGUCGUGAGAUGUACCCUUAAGUGGGGUAACGAGCGCAACCCUUAUGGUUAGUUGUAUCACUCUAACAAGACUGCUCGGGCAACCGAGAGGAAGGAGAGGAUCAUAAUAAGUCAGCAUGGUCCUUAUAGCUUGGGCUAGACAGGCGCUACAAUGGCGAGUACAACGGGACGCAACACAGUAAUGUGAAGCAAAUCCCUUAAAGCUCGUCUCAGUUCAGAUUGAGGGCUGAAACUCGCCCUCAUGAAGUUGGAAUCGCUAGUAAUCGUAGGUCAGCUAUACUACGGUGAAUACGUUCUCGGGUCUUGUACACACCGCCCGU